UACGUAGGGGGCAAGCGUUAUCCGGAAUUACUGGGUGUAAAGGGAGCGUAGACGGUAAUGUAAGUCUGGAGUGAAAGGCGGGGGCCCAACCCCCGGACUGCUCUGGAAACUAUGUUACUAGAGUGCAGGAGAGGUAAGCGGUAUUCCUAGUGUAGCGGUGAAAUGCGUAGAGAUUAGGAAGAACACCAGUGGCGAAGGCGAUUCUCUGGACUGUAACUGACGCUGAGGCUCGAAAGCGUGGGGAGCAAACAGG
Molecule: ribosomal RNA, 253 nt
Filed under: uncultured bacterium
Lineage: Bacteria
Description: partial 16S ribosomal RNA
Rfam family: Bacterial small subunit ribosomal RNA
Source: RNAcentral